AUAGCCAUAAACACAGAUUUAUUAACAAAACGAAUAAAUUCGCCAGAGAACUACGAGCUACCGCUUAAAACUCAAAGGACUUGGCGGUGCUUUAUAUCCAUCUAGAGGAGCCUGUUCUGUAAUCGAUAAACCCCGUUAAACCUUACCAUUUCUUGCUAAAACAGUCUGUAUACCGCCAUCUUCAGCAAACCCUUAAAAGGUCGAAUAGUAAGCUUAAUUAUUAUAAAAUAAAAAAGUUAGGUCAAGGUGCAGCCUAUGAAAUGGAACGCAAUGGGCUACAUUUUCUAGUCUAGAACAUUAACGGACUUCUACAUGAAACAUUGUAGGAUAAAGGAGGAUUUAGUAGUAAACUAAAGAUAGAGUAUUUAGUUGAAUAGAGCAAUGAAG
RNAcentral lists this ribosomal RNA (387 nucleotides) under Heteromys australis (Southern spiny pocket mouse). RNAcentral's name for it is "partial 12S ribosomal RNA". The stretch from base 46 to 387 matches the Rfam family "Bacterial small subunit ribosomal RNA", at positions 875 to 1379 of the family's 1533-position model. The record is from RNAcentral. Lineage: Eukaryota; Metazoa; Chordata; Mammalia; Rodentia; Heteromyidae.